RNAcentral lists this ribosomal RNA (491 nucleotides) under uncultured bacterium. RNAcentral describes it as "partial 16S ribosomal RNA". It matches the Rfam family "Bacterial small subunit ribosomal RNA", at positions 28 to 507 of the family's 1533-position model. The record is from RNAcentral.
GAUGAACGCUAGCUACAGGCUUAACACAUGCAAGUCGAGGGGAAACGAUGAGAGAGCUUGCUCUCUUAGUCGUCGACCGGCGCACGGGUGAGUAACGCGUAUCCAACCUGCCUCUGACCAAGGGAUAACCCGUCGAAAGUCGGACUAAUACCUUAUGCAGUCGUCGGAAGUCAUCUGAUGACGACGAAAGAUUUCAUCGGUGAGAGAUGGGGAUGCGUCUGAUUAGCUUGUUGGCGGGGUAACGGCCCACCAAGGCGACGAUCAGUAGGGGUUCUGAGAGGAAGGUCCCCCAAAUUGGAACUGAGACACGGUCCAAACUCCUACGGGAGGCAGCAGUGAGGAAUAUUGGUCAAUGGGCGUAAGCCUGAACCAGCCAAGUAGCGUGCAGGAUGACGGCCCUAUGGGUUGUAAACUGCUUUUAGGCGGGGAUAAAGUGAGGGACGUGUCCUUCAUUGCAGGUACCGCAUGAAUAAGGACCGGCUAAUUCCGUG